AGCGUGGAGACAGGUGGUGCAUGGCUGUCGUCAGCUCGUGUCGUGAGAUGUUGGGUUAAGUCCCGCAACGAGCGCAACCCUCACCUCUUGUUGCCAUCAGGUCAUGCUGGGCACUCUAGAGGAACUGCCCCGGUCAACGGGGAGGAAGGCGGGGAUGACGUCAAGUCAUCAUGCCCCUUACGUCCUGGGCUACACACGUGCUACAAUGGCCGGUACAAAGGGAUGCCACACCGCGAGGGAGAGCUAAACCCAAAAAGCCGGUCUAAGUUCAGAUUGGAGUCUGCAACUCGACUCCGUGAAGGAGGAAUCGCUAGUAAUCGCGUAUCAGCACGAUGCGGUGAAUACGUUCCCGGGCCUUGUACACACCGCCCGUCACACCACGAAAGCCUGCUGUACUCGAAGUCGCUGAG
This 410-nucleotide ribosomal RNA is filed under the name uncultured Methylomirabilota bacterium. RNAcentral's name for it is "bacterial SSU rRNA". It matches the Rfam family "Bacterial small subunit ribosomal RNA", at positions 1025 to 1434 of the family's 1533-position model. Lineage: Bacteria; Methylomirabilota (SeqCode). The record is from RNAcentral.